CUAUACAUGCAGUAGAACGCUGAAGAGAGGAGCUUGCUCUUCUUGGAUGAGUUGCGAACGGGUGAGUAACGCGUAGGUAACCUGCCUUGUAGCGGGGGAUAACUAUUGGAAACGAUAGCUAAUACCGCAUAACAAUGGAUGACACAUGUCAUUUAUUUGAAAGGGGCAAUUGCUCCACUACAAGAUGGACCUGCGUUGUAUUAGCUAGUAGGUGAGGUAACGGCUCACCUAGGCGACGAUACAUAGCCGACCUGAGAGGGUGAUCGGCCACACUGGGACUGAGACACGGCCCAGACUCCUACGGGAGGCAGCAGUAGGGAAUCUUCGGCAAUGGGGGCAACCCUGACCGAGCAACGCCGCGUGAGUGAAGAAGGUUUUCGGAUCGUAAAGCUCUGUUGUAAGUCAAGAACGAGUGUGAGAGUGGAAAGUUCACACUGUGACGGUAGCUUACCAGAAAGGGACGGCUAACUACGUGCCAGCAGCCGCGGUAAUACGUAGGUCCCGAGCGUUGUCCGGAUUUAUUGGGCGUAAAGCGAGCGCAGGCGGUUUGAUAAGUCUGAAGUUAAAGGCUGUGGCUCAACCAUAGUUCGCUUUGGAAACUGUCAAACUUGAGUGCAGAAGGGGAGAGUGGAAUUCCAUGUGUAGCGGUGAAAUGCGUAGAUAUAUGGAGGAACACCGGUGGCGAAAGCGGCUCUCUGGUCUGUAACUGACGCUGAGGCUCGAAAGCGUGGGGAGCGAACAGGAUUAGAUACCCUGGUAGUCCACGCCGUAAACGAUGAGUGCUAGGUGUUGGAUCCUUUCCGGGAUUCAGUGCCGCAGCUAACGCAUUAAGCACUCCGCCUGGGGAGUACGACCGCAAGGUUGAAACUCAAAGGAAUUGACGGGGGCCCGCACAAGCGGUGGAGCAUGUGGUUUAAUUCGAAGCAACGCGAAGAACCUUACCAGGUCUUGACAUCCCGAUGCUAUUUCUAGAGAUAGAAAGUUACUUCGGUACAUCGGUGACAGGUGGUGCAUGGUUGUCGUCAGCUCGUGUCGUGAGAUGUUGGGUUAAGUCCCGCAACGAGCGCAACCCCUAUUGUUAGUUGCCAUCAUUCAGUUGGGCACUCUAGCGAGACUGCCGGUAAUAAACCGGAGGAAGGUGGGGAUGACGUCAAAUCAUCAUGCCCCUUAUGACCUGGGCUACACACGUGCUACAAUGGUUGGUACAACGAGUUGCGAGUCGGUGACGGCAAGCUAAUCUCUUAAAGCCAAUCUCAGUUCGGAUUGUAGGCUGCAACUCGCCUACAUGAAGUCGGAAUCGCUAGUAAUCGCGGAUCAGCACGCCGCGGUGAAUACGUUCCCGGGCCUUGUACACACCGCCCGUCACACCACGAGAGUUUGUAACACCCGAAGUCGGUGAGGUAACCUUUUGGAGCCAGCCGCCUAAGG
This 1428-nucleotide ribosomal RNA is filed under the name bacterium. RNAcentral describes it as "bacterial SSU rRNA". It matches the Rfam family "Bacterial small subunit ribosomal RNA". The record is from RNAcentral.